Molecule: ribosomal RNA, 431 nt
Filed under: uncultured bacterium
Lineage: Bacteria
Description: partial 16S ribosomal RNA
Rfam family: Bacterial small subunit ribosomal RNA
Source: RNAcentral
ACGCACGCUGGCGGCCGGCUUAACCCCUGCACGUCGAGCGCAUCCUUCGGGGUGAGCGGCAGACGGGUGAGUAACGCGUGGGAAUCUACCUUUUGCUACGGAAUAGCUCCGGGAAACUGGAAUUAAUACCGUAUGUGCCCUUAGGGGGAAAGAUUUAUCGGCAAGAGAUGAGCCCGCGUUGGAUUAGCUAGUUGGUGGGGUAAAGGCCUACCAAGGCGACGAUCCAUAGCUGGUCUGAGAGGAUGAUCAGCCACAUUGGGACUGAGACACGGCCCAAACUCCUACGGGAGGCAGCAGUGGGGAAUAUUGGACAAUGGGCGCAAGCCUGAUCCAGCCAUGCCGCGUGAGUGAUGAAGGCCUUAGGGUUGUAAAGCUCUUUCACCGGAGAAGAUAAUGACGGUAUCCGGAGAAGAAGCCCCGGCGAACUUCGU